Molecule: transfer RNA, 73 nt
Filed under: Canis lupus familiaris (dog)
Lineage: Eukaryota; Metazoa; Chordata; Mammalia; Carnivora; Canidae
Also listed under: 1 other name
Rfam family: tRNA
About the family: Transfer RNA (tRNA) molecules are approximately 80 nucleotides in length.
Source: Rfam by way of RNAcentral
GCCUGGCUGGCCCAGUCGGCAGAGCAUGUGACUCCUUAUCUCAGAGUUAUGGGUUUGAGCCCCAUGUUAGAUG